Dioscorea cayenensis subsp. rotundata (Guinea yam) is the source of this 286-nucleotide long non-coding RNA. RefSeq lists it as uncharacterized. The transcript is spliced from 3 exons. The record is from RefSeq and is a predicted model, not a curated record. NCBI's taxonomy places the organism in Eukaryota, Viridiplantae, Streptophyta, Magnoliopsida, Dioscoreales, Dioscoreaceae.
UCUUCUUUUUGGAAUCUUGAAUUCACACUUCAUGAGCUUUCUCUAGGUUCCAUGAUCAAGCUUUUCUCCUACUUUAAGCAAUCAUUGUGCUCAUUUGAUUUUUCACUUCAUCCAUUUCAUCUCAAGGAAAAUCUGAUGGGGUGGUUGGUGUUGAAGAAAAUGAUUUAUCUUCAAGUUCAGAUUCUGUGGAUGACUUUUCAACAUAGGUUAUUAUCUUCUUUAAUCUAUUUGAUGGGGAUCAAGAAUUAAUUCUUUGGUGAUUUUAAUUAUGUAAUAUUUGCUUCUU